GACGAACGCUGGCGGCGUGCUUAACACAUGCAAGUCGAACGGAAAGGCCCCCAUCUUGGUGGGGGUGCUCGAGUGGCGAACGGGUGAGUAACACGUGGGUGAUCUGCCCUGUACUUCGGGAUAUGCUUGGGAAACUGGGUCUAAUACCGGAUAGGACCAUGGUUUAGUGUCUCAUGGGGGAAAGAUUAUUGUUUUGGUGCAGGAUGGGCUCGCGGCCUAUCAGCUUGUUGGUGGGGUAAUGGCCUAGCAGGGCGUGGACGGGUAGCCGGCCGGGGGUGGGGGGCGUGCACAGUUGAACUGAGACACUGGGCAGGAGCCUACGGGAGGCAGCAGUGGGGAGUAUGGAGCGAGGGACGUUAGCCUGAGGCAGGAACCCCGAGGCGGCAAUGACGGCCUUCGGGUUGUAAACUCCUUUCGUUAGGGACGUAGCCACGCUGAUUGGGUGUGGUGACGGUACCUUUGUAAAGAAGCACCGGCUAACUACGUG
RNAcentral lists this ribosomal RNA (487 nucleotides) under uncultured bacterium. RNAcentral's name for it is "partial 16S ribosomal RNA". It matches the Rfam family "Bacterial small subunit ribosomal RNA", at positions 28 to 507 of the family's 1533-position model. The record is from RNAcentral.